RNAcentral lists this unclassified non-coding RNA (378 nucleotides) under uncultured Actinomycetes bacterium. RNAcentral describes it as "uncultured actinobacterium contains 16S-23S intergenic spacer region". Lineage: Bacteria; Bacillati; Actinomycetota; Actinomycetes. The record is from RNAcentral.
UCCGAUUUGUCACCGGCAGUCCCCUAUGAGUCCCCGUCUUUCACGCUGGCAACAUAGGGCAGGGGUUGCGCUCGUUGCGGGUCUUAACCCAACAUCUCACGACACGAGCUGACGACAGCCAUGCACCACCUGUGCACUGGCCCCGAAGGGCUGCCGUGUUUCCACGACAUUCCAGUGCAUGUCAAGCCUUGGUAAGGUUCUUCGCGUUGCGUCGAAUUAAGCCACAUGCUCCGCCGCUUGUGCGGGCCCCCGUCAAUUCCUUUGAGUUUCAGCCUUGCGGCCGUACUCCCCAGGCGGGGCACUUAAUGCGUUAGCGACGGCGCGGAUCUCGUUGGUUGAGACCCACACCUAGUGCCCAACGUUUACGGCGUGGACUAC